This 62-nucleotide transfer RNA is filed under the name Acanthobdella peledina. Its description in RNAcentral is "tRNA-His". Lineage: Eukaryota; Metazoa; Annelida; Clitellata; Acanthobdellida. The record is from RNAcentral.
AAUAAAGUAAGUUAAUAAAAACUAUUGAGUUGUGAUCUCAAACAUAUCAUAGAUCUUUAUUA